ACGCUCGACACCUACGGGAGCAGCAGUAGGGAAUCUUCCACAAUGGGCGCAAGCCUGAUGGAGCAACACCGCGUGAGUGAAGAAGGGUUUCGGCUCGUAAAGCUCUGUUGUUGGAGAAGAACGUGCGUGAGAGUAACUGUUCACGCAGUGACGGUAUCCAACCAGAAAGUCACGGCUAACUACAUGCCAGCAGCCGCGGUAAUCUGAGCGGGCUGGCAAGGC
RNAcentral lists this ribosomal RNA (222 nucleotides) under uncultured bacterium. RNAcentral's name for it is "partial 16S ribosomal RNA". It matches the Rfam family "Bacterial small subunit ribosomal RNA", at positions 328 to 539 of the family's 1533-position model. The record is from RNAcentral.